AACGCACAUUGCGCUCCCUGGCAUUCCGGGGAGCACGCCUGUCCGAGCGCCGUUAUACCCCCUCAAGCCUCGCUUGGUGUUGGACUCCGCCCCCGCCGUUUGCGCGAGGGCGCCGUCCGAAAGUCAUCGGCGCCCGUCGCCGGCCCCAGCGUUGUGGAAUCAUCCGCUGUGGCCCGGCCGACGUGGUUGCCUCGCACCCAUCAGUACCUAUUGGCCUCGGAUCAGGCGGGGAUACCCGCUGAACUUAA
RNAcentral lists this unclassified non-coding RNA (248 nucleotides) under uncultured fungus. Its description in RNAcentral is "partial contains 5.8S ribosomal RNA, internal transcribed spacer 2, and large subunit ribosomal RNA". Lineage: Eukaryota; Fungi. The record is from RNAcentral.